GACGAACGCUGGCGGCGUGCCUAAUGCAUGCAAGUCGAACGAACUCUGGUAUUGAUUGGUGCUUGCAUCAUGAUUUACAUUUGAGUGAGUGGCGAACUGGUGAGUAACACGUGGGAAACCUGCCCAGAAGCGGGGGAUAACACCUGGAAACAGAUGCUAAUACCGCAUAACAACUUGGACCGCAUGGUCCGAGCUUGAAAGAUGGCUUCGGCUAUCACUUUUGGAUGGUCCCGCGGCGUAUUAGCUAGAUGGUGGGGUAAUGGCUCACCAUGGCAAUGAUACGUAGCCGACCUGAGAGGGUAAUCGGCCACAUUGGGACUGAGACACGGCCCAAACUCCUACGGGAGGCAGCAGUAGGGAAUCUUCCACAAUGGACGAAAGUCUGAUGGAGCAACGCCGCGUGAGUGAAGAAGGGUUUCGGCUCGUAAAACUCUGUUGUUAAAGAAGAACAUAUCUGAGAGUAACUGUUCAGGUAUUGACGGUAUUUAACCAGAAAGCCACGGCUAACUACGUGCCAGCAACCGCGGUAAUACGUAGGUGGCAAGCGUUGUCCGGAUUUAUUGGGCGUAAAGCGAGCGCAGGCGGUUUUUAAGUCUGAUGUGAAAGCCUUCGGCUCAACCGAAGAAGUGCAUCGGAAACUGGGAAACUUGAGUGCAGAAGAGGACAGUGGAACUCCAUGUGUAGCGGUGAAAUGCGUAGAUAUAUGGAAGAACACCAGUGGCGAAGGCGGCUGUCUGGUCUGUAACUGACGCUGAGGCUCGAAAGUAUGGGUAGCAAACAGGAUUAGAUACCCUGGUAGUCCAUACCGUAAACGAUGAAUGCUAAGUGUUGGAGGGUUUCCGCCCUUCAGUGCUGCAGCUAACGCAUUAAGCAUUCCGCCUGGGGAGUACGGCCGCAAGGCUGAAACUCAAAGGAAUUGACGGGGGCCCGCACAAGCGGUGGAGCAUGUGGUUUAAUUCGAAGCUACGCGAAGAACCUUACCAGGUCUUGACAUACUAUGCAAAUCUAAGAGAUUAGACGUUCCCUUCGGGGACAUGGAUACAGGUGGUGCAUGGUUGUCGUCAGCUCGUGUCGUGAGAUGUUGGGUUAAGUCCCGCAACGAGCGCAACCCUUAUUAUCAGUUGCCAGCAUUAAGUUGGGCACUCUGGUGAGACUGCCGGUGACAAACCGGAGGAAGGUGGGGAUGACGUCAAAUCAUCAUGCCCCUUAUGACCUGGGCUACACACGUGCUACAAUGGAUGGUACAACGAGUUGCGAACUCGCGAGAGUAAGCUAAUCUCUUAAAGCCAUUCUCAGUUCGGAUUGUAGGCUGCAACUCGCCUACAUGAAGUCGGAAUCGCUAGUAAUCGCGGAUCAGCAUGCCGCGGUGAAUACGUUCCCGGGCCUUGUACACACCGCCCGUCACACCAUGAGAGUUUGUAACACCCAAAGUCGGUGGGGUAACCUUUUAGGAACCAGCCGCCUAAGGUGGGACAGAUGAUUAGGGUG
This 1488-nucleotide ribosomal RNA is filed under the name Lactiplantibacillus plantarum. RNAcentral describes it as "bacterial SSU rRNA". It matches the Rfam family "Bacterial small subunit ribosomal RNA". Lineage: Bacteria; Bacillati; Bacillota; Bacilli; Lactobacillales; Lactobacillaceae. The record is from RNAcentral.